CUCAGGAAUGGUAAUGGCUAGAGGCGUUCUGUUUUUUUCCUCGAAAAGAGGACACUUCAGGCUUGUGCGUUGUAAAUGGGCUGUUCUAUGGGCAGGUCAGUGUCCAAUCAAAACUAUCGAGCGAUAUCACAAGGAGCUCAAAUAUCCAAUUGUAGAGCCUUUGUGCUCUGACAUAGUGUAUCAAAGAUGUCUUCUGAAGACGAGGAGUAGCUCCCCUGACUAGCUGGAUCGUCGACACGUCUGAAAAGCGGCUCUGAAUGCAAUAAUGGGGCAUAGCGGACCGUUAUCUUAGUCGGAAUGUGCGUUGUUUUGUAUACCCCUAUUAUACACUCUUAUUUCUUACUGGAAACGUUUAUUUGGCUUAUUAGCGUUACUGUGUUUUGUUACGCUAACCCGGAAGUUACGUCGAAGACGUUCCGGGUGAACAGGAGAGUUAUUACUCUCAGACGCUCACAGUAAACAGCGCUCUUUUGCCACACAAAUAUUUCAGUGACAAAACAUUUAGACAUUUUAGACACUUCUGAAAAUUGAUUUAUAUAGUGACAAUAAGAAAUCAAGUAAUAAUAUUGUGUAAAUAAGUAAUUUGAUAUACUUAUUUGUGUUUCUGACAUUUAUUUUAUAGAAAAAAGUGUCCCAGUUGCAUCAUCAUUCUUUUUAUGUCUGUAUGCUGUGUUGAUAGUUCAGAUUAUCUUAUUGUAACUAUGUCUUCCUCUUCCAGAACACACAGGAUAACCUGCAACCCAGCAAAGUCCUUGUAACCACUUUUAAAGAUAAGACAGAAGUUGCUAAAAACAUUUUCCAUGUUAACAGUGCCAAGGAUCUCAUUGAUCAAAGCCUAGCCCAGCAAACUGGCUGUGUGCUUGACAGGUUGUUAAAGUAUAAUACUGAUUUCAUGGAAUACAUUGAUGUUGACAUGAAUGAGGAGGAAUUGAAGGAUUUGGAUAGAUAUCACAUCUUUCUAUCAACACAAGGGACCCAAGUUGAAUGUGUGGAGGCAAAUCAAAAUCAGGCUCAACCACACACUGAAGGUGCAGGCGGUCAAUGGGAGACUGAACCUAGUGCUAGUGAAGCUUGUCAGAGUGGUCCACUGGAGAAAUGCCAAGGAGAAAAUGAUGGCGUGCACAGAUUUGAUGCAGCCAAUCUGGUGGUGCUAAUUAAUAACAAAGCCCCAAGUGUACUUGCCGAAUAUGAAAAAUCUGGAACGCUCUCUCUGGCAUCCAGAAAACUCCUUGUGAGAACAGGUGUCAGCGAUCUGGUUGAGCGACGGGGAUUGUGAGUUGAUUGAUCAUUCAUCUAGACCAUCAUUUUUUAUAGUACAUGUGCUCCAAAAUGAAACAUAAUAAAGGAUUAUCUUAUCUUAUCUCAUAACAUAAUACUAAAAUUUGAUGUAAUCUUUAUUACACUAUUGCAUUUUAAAUUUUUUUCUG
Molecule: long non-coding RNA, 1427 nt
Organism: Parambassis ranga (Indian glassy fish)
Lineage: Eukaryota; Metazoa; Chordata; Actinopteri; Ambassidae
Source: Ensembl